This 440-nucleotide ribosomal RNA is filed under the name uncultured bacterium. RNAcentral describes it as "partial 16S ribosomal RNA". It matches the Rfam family "Bacterial small subunit ribosomal RNA", at positions 338 to 795 of the family's 1533-position model. The record is from RNAcentral.
CCUACGUGAGGCAGCAGUGGGGAAUAUUGGACAAUGAGGGGAACCCUGAUCCAGCGACGCCGCGUGAGUGAAGAAGUAUUUCGGUAUGUAAAGCUCUAUCAGCAGGGAAGAAAAUGACGGUACCUGAAGAAGAAGCCCCGGCUAACUACGUGCCAGCAGCCGCGGUAAUACUUAGGGGGCAAGCGUGAGCCGGAUUUACUGGGUGGAAAGGGAGCGUAGACGGUGCAGCAAGUCUGAUGUGAAAGGUCGGGGCCCAACCCCGGGACUGCAUUGGAAACUGUUGAACUGGAGUAUAGGAGAGGUAAGCGGAAUUCCUAGUGUAGCGGUGAAAUGCGUAGAUAUUAGGAGGAACACCAGUGGCGAAGGCGGCUUACUGGACUGUAACUGACGUUGAGGCUCGAAAGCGUGGGGAGCAAACAGGAUUAGAUACCCGAGUAGUC